UUCUUUUAGAAAAAAUUAAAAGUAAUUUCUGCUCAAUGAAAAUUUAAAUGGCUGCAAAUUUUGUACUAAGGUAGCAUAAUCAAUUGUUUAUUAAUUGUAAACUGGAAUGAAAGAAAAUAUUUUUAGUGACUUUAUUGGUUUUAAUUUUUGAAUUUAGAAUCUUUGUAAAAAUACUUAGAUGCAAAUUAGGGACAAGAAGACCCUAUAAAGCUUUACAUAAAGAUAGAAUUUAAUUAAUUUUAUCUAAAAUGUUAAAUUGGGGCAAUUUUUUGAAAAAUACAAUAAAAACAAAAAACUAAAUUAAUUAAUGAACCAUAAAUUAUGGAUAUAUGAAUAAGUUACUUUAGGGAUAACAGGAUAAUUUUCUUUAUAAAGUACUAAUUGAAAAAGAAGUUUAUUACCUCGAUGUUGGAUUAAUUUUAUAAUCUGGUGAAGAAUCUAGAUUUUAUUGACUGUUCGUCAAAUAAAUAAUUACA
This 476-nucleotide ribosomal RNA is filed under the name Neopurcellia salmoni. RNAcentral describes it as "partial 16S large subunit ribosomal RNA". Lineage: Eukaryota; Metazoa; Arthropoda; Arachnida; Opiliones; Pettalidae. The record is from RNAcentral.